AUGAUAGCUAGUAAGUGUCUGAGGCUGGAUUUGAAUUUGGGGGGUCUUGACUCCAAGCCCAGCAAACAGGCACCCCCACACACACACAACCUCUUUCUCCUACUUCCUCCUCUCUCUCUUCUCUUCUCUUCUCUUCUUUCUCUUCUCUUCUCUUCUUUCUCUUCUUUUCUUUCUCUUCUCUUCUCUUCUUUUCUUUCUCUUCUCUUUUCUUUCUUUCUCUUCUCUUCUUUUCUUUCUCUUCUCUUCUCUUCUUUCUCUUCUCUUCUUUCUUUCUCUUCUUUUCUUUUCUUUCUCUUCUCUUCUUUUCUCCUCUUUUCUUUCUCUUCUCUUCUUUCUUUCUCUUCUUUCUCUUCUUUUCUUUUCUUUCUCUUCUCUUCUCUUCUCUUCUUUCUUUCUCUUCUUUUCUUUCUCUUCUCUUCUCUUCUUUCUCUUUUCUUUCUCUUCUCUUCUCUUCUCUUCUUUUCUUUCUCUUCUCUUCUCUUCUUUCUUUCUCUUCUUUCUCUUCUUUUCUUUCUCUUCUCUUCUCUUCUUUUCUUUCUCUUCUCUUUCUCUUCUUUUCUCUUCUCUUCUCUUCUUUCUUUCUCUUCUUUUCUUUCUCUUCUCUUCUCUUCUCUUCUUUCUCUUUUCUUUCUUUUCUUUUCUUUCUCUUCUCUUCUCUUCUUUCUUUCUCUUCUUUUCUUUCUCUUCUCUUCUCUUCUCUUCUUUCUCUUUUCUUUCUCUUCUCUUCUCUUCUCUUCUUUUCUUUCUCUUCUCUUCUCUUCUUUCUUUCUCUUCUUUCUCUUCUUUUCUUUUCUUUCUCUUCUCUUCUCUUCUUUUCUUUCUCUUCUCUUUCUCUUCUUUUCUCUUCUCUUCUCUUCUCUUCUCUUUCUCUUCUUUUCUUUCUCUUCUCUUCUCUUCUCUUCUUUCUCUUUUCUUUCUCUUCUCUUCUCUUCUCUUCUUUUCUUUCUCUUCUCUUCUUUCUCUUUUCUUUCUCUUCUCUUCUUUUCUUUCUCUUCUCUUCUCUUCUUUCUUUUUUUCUCUUCUUUCUCUUCUCUUCUCUUCUUUCUCUUCUUUUCUUUCUCUUCUCUUCUCUUCUCUUCUUUCUCUUUUCUCUUCUCUUUCUUCUCUUCUCUUCUUUCUCUUCUCUUCUCUUCUCUCUUCUCCCUCUCUCCCUCUCUCUCUCUUUAUGCAGAAGAGUCAAAGUUUGAAUUCAGAGGCUAG
RNAcentral lists this long non-coding RNA (1200 nucleotides) under Sarcophilus harrisii (Tasmanian devil). Its description in RNAcentral is "lncRNA (ENSSHAG00000026879.1)". The record is from RNAcentral. Lineage: Eukaryota; Metazoa; Chordata; Mammalia; Dasyuromorphia; Dasyuridae.